CCUACGGGCGGCUGCAGUGGGGAAUAUUGCACAAUGGGGGAAACCCUGAUGCAGCGACGCCGCGUGAGUGAAGAAGUAUCUCGGUACGUAAAGCUCUAUCAGCAGGGAAGAAAAUGACGGUACCUGACUAAGAAUCACCGGCCAACUACGUGCCAGCAGCCGCGGUAAGACGGAGGGGGCCAGCGUUAUCCGGAUUUACUGGGUGUAAAGGGAGCGUAGACGGCAGGGCAAGUCUGGAGUGAAAUGCCGGGGUCCAACCCCGGAACUGCUUUGGAAACUGUGCAGCUCGAGUGCAGGAGAGGUAAGCGGAAUGCCUAGUGUAGCGGUGAAAUGCGUAGAUAUUAGGAAGAACACCAGUGGCGAAGGCAGCUUACUGGACUGUAACUGACGUUGAGGCUCGAAAGCGUGGGGAGCAAACAGGAUUAGAUACCCUUGUAGUC
This 440-nucleotide ribosomal RNA is filed under the name uncultured bacterium. RNAcentral describes it as "partial 16S ribosomal RNA". It matches the Rfam family "Bacterial small subunit ribosomal RNA", at positions 338 to 795 of the family's 1533-position model. The record is from RNAcentral.